Molecule: RNA transcript, 2287 nt
Organism: Panicum virgatum (switchgrass)
Lineage: Eukaryota; Viridiplantae; Streptophyta; Magnoliopsida; Poales; Poaceae
Gene name: DEAD-box ATP-dependent RNA helicase 1-like
Exons: 10
Source: RefSeq, a predicted model, not a curated record
AAUCCAGCGAGCGAGUCCUCCUCGGCUCCUCGCCGUCGCAGCCACUCCCUGCCCGCCCCCCCCCGCGCCGCCUCGCAUCACCAGUGCUCCUCGCCGGCUUCAGCUCCUCCGCGAAUUUAUCACAUUACCUGAGGCGAGUUCUGUCGCUGAUGGUGGCCAUGGCGAGGAAGGAUGAGGAAGAGGGGCCCGCGGACCGCGUGCCGCACCUGCCGUGGAUGCGGUACCCCGUCGACAUCGACGCUUUCUCCGGCUGCCCCGUCGCGCAGCUUCCCCGCCUCGACCCCAGAUUAGCAGAGGCUUUGCAGAGAAUGGGAAUUGAAUCAUUUUUUCCAGUUCAAGAAGCAGCUUGGGUGGAAACGAUUGGUCCUGGUGCUUUUGAGAGGGAUGUAUGUAUUAACUCCCCAACUGGAUCUGGCAAAACUCUAGCUUAUGCCCUACCUAUUGUGCAAAUGCUCUCCACACGGAAAGUAAGGUGCUUACGUGCUUUGGUUGUGCUUCCUACACGGGAUUUAGCCUUGCAGGUUAAAGAGGUUUUUGAUGCUAUUGCUCCUGUGGUGGGCUUGUCAGUAGGUUCAGCAGUUGGCCAAUCUUCAAUUGCAGAUGAAGUUUCCAAUCUUGUCAGGAAGCCCAAACAAGAGCUUUACCCAACUAUUGAUGAAGAAUAUGUCAAAAUGGAACCACAGACUAAAGUUGAUAUAUUGGUGGCAACACCUGGAAGACUGAUGGAUCACAUUAACAUGACAAACGGUUUCAGUCUGGAGCAUCUUCAGUACCUGGUCAUUGAUGAAACAGAUAGGAUGUUAAGAGAGGCUUACCAAUCCUGGUUGCCAACAGUUAUCGAACUUAAACACUCAAUUGGCAAAGAUCGUUCCUGGCACGACACUGAUGUGAAAACUCUACUUCAUCCAUUGACUACUGUUAGAAGAUCAGGUGUUGAGCGUGGGUUUAAAGGUAAAUGCUAUCCAAGAUUAGCAAAGAUAGUUUUGUCUGCUACACUGACUCAAGAUCCUAGCAAGCUUUCUCAACUCGAGCUGCACCACCCCUUAUUGUUGAAUAGUGGGAAGAAGCGUUACAGAAUUCCUGCAAAACUUGAAUCCUACAAACUGAUUUGUACAUCAAACUUAAAGCCACUUUCUCUCAUUGUUCUUCUCCAAGAGCUGCAAGGGAACAAGUGCUUAGUUUUUACCUCAUCUGUAGAAUCAAGCCACAGACUAAGCACGUUGCUGGGAUUUUUUGAAGACUUGCCCUUUAAAUUUAGUGAAUAUUCACGCUUGCAGCGAGAAUCUACUCGAAGGAAAACACUGGAGGCCUUCAAGGAAGGGGAAAUCGAUGUUCUAAUAGGUACUGAUAGAAUGGCUCGUGGAAUACAUAUUGAUGGUUUAAGAUAUGUUAUCAAUUAUGAUAUGCCACCAUAUGUGAAAACAUACAUACAUCGAGCGGGGCGGACUGCAAGAGCAGGGGAGUUUGGUUCCUGCUUCACCUUUUUAAGAAAACAUGAGGUUAAAACUUUUAACAAAAUGCUGAAGAAGGCUGACAAUGCUAGCUGCAGUCGUCAUUCAUUGCCUGAGGAAUCGAUAGAAACACUUCGUCCAGUUUUCUCCAGUGCUCUGAAAAAACUGGAAGAGUCUCUGGAAUCAGAAGCAGCAAAGAAAUCUAAUUCAGGAGAUAAAAUCCCAAGUGGUUCUAAACGAAAGAGAACAAACCAGAAGUGAAGCAAUAGAUUAGCUUUAGUUCUGCAGUAUUGAUGUCGCAUCUGCAUUUGCUACAGAGAUUUGCCAGCAUGACUUCUUAAAAUCUUGGUGACAUAAUUUCAGAUUCCUACUUCUAUAUGCCCAUAUCAUCUAGGUAGUUCUGAGCCCCAACAAUUCUGUAACUGGUUGGUCGUUCAUUAUGGAUACCCAAAGUAAGACGGAUGAUUUCAUAUGUUUGCUGUGCAUUCCUGUGUCCUACCUCCGCGCAACUUUCGCCAUGCCUUCAACAGGCCGAUCCAUUUUGAUGAAUGGUACAGUAAAUUUCUCGGUCAUGGACAGUUGGAAAAGCAUCCUUCUUUCCCUUAUGUGGUGUUCAUCAUUCACUGUGCAUUUAUGGCUGGAAGGAGGCCACCCCAAAGAAAAAGUUGGGUACCUUCACAUCAAUGUAUCGGCAGCAGUAACCUUUCAGUUAUGCUUUACACUUGGAAUAUUCCUUUCUGUCUUUGUCAAUACAAUUUUUUUACUCAAUUAUUUAGUGCCAUUGAUCGGGAAAUGUCAAACUAGCAUAUCACUCGACUGAAAACCUCAUUUCCUUC